CGCGUAGGCGGUUUCGCGAGUCGGGUGUGAAAUCCCCGGGCUUAACCUGGGAACUGCAUCCGAUACUGCGUGACUUGAGUAUGAUAGAGGGAAGCGGAAUUCCGGGUGUAGCGGUGAAAUGCGUAGAUAUCCGGAGGAACACCAGUGGCGAAGGCGGCUUCCUGGAUCAAUACUGACGCUGAGGCGCGAAAGCGUGGGGAGCAAACA
This 207-nucleotide ribosomal RNA is filed under the name uncultured bacterium. RNAcentral's name for it is "partial 16S ribosomal RNA". It matches the Rfam family "Bacterial small subunit ribosomal RNA", at positions 568 to 774 of the family's 1533-position model. The record is from RNAcentral.